This 253-nucleotide ribosomal RNA is filed under the name uncultured bacterium. RNAcentral describes it as "partial 16S ribosomal RNA". It matches the Rfam family "Bacterial small subunit ribosomal RNA", at positions 524 to 776 of the family's 1533-position model. The record is from RNAcentral.
UACGUAGGUGGCAAGCGUUAUCCGGAAUUACUGGGCGUAAAGCGUGCGCAGGCGGUGAUGUAAGACAGAUGUGAAAUCCCCGGGCUCAACCUGGGAACUGCAUUUGUGACUGCAUCGCUGGAGUGCGGCAGAGGGGGAUGGAAUUCCGCGUGUAGCAGUGAAAUGCGUAGAUAUGCGGAGGAACACCGAUGGCGAAGGCAAUCCCCUGGGCCUGCACUGACGCUCAUGCACGAAAGCGUGGGGAGCAAACAGG